GAGCAGUUGACUAUCAAUACUUCAUUCAGAGUUGUGUAUACAACAUUCUCUGCAUAAGGUUUUGCCUUUGUUUCUUUAUAAAUCGGCUUUUGUGUUUUAAUAUUACAGAUGACUUAGAUUAUUGGGUAUACUAUAACUUGCAAUUUAUUCUCACUAAUAUGUUUACUUUUUGUGAUUCAUUCCGACUAAUAAGUCACUACUGAUAUUAUAUAGGUAGUAGACUAUUACUGUAUUAUAUUUUCAAUAUAUUUUAGGCAUUUUUUACUGUAACUACCUUAUAACAAAUAAGUAUGUUUUACUUUAAUGAAACAAAUUCAUCAUUAUUGGAAGAUUCACAUUAUGAUGUUUAUUUGAUAUAUAUUUUUUGUUCAUUUUCAUCUUCCGAAAACUACUUUACUUUUGGAAACUGUUAUCCACUUUGACAUGUUGAUUUUUAUUUCUUAAAAAGCUUCUAUAAUUCUGAUAUUUUGUAGAUUCCGGAACCAUGUAUAUGAAUUUGGUAUAUUGGAAUGCAGUUUGAUGUUCUCCAUUUGUUGUUCAAAUUUUUUCUAUGUUCAAUUAAAGAUGAGUUAGAUUUUGUAUUCUAUGAUCUAAUCCGCAGUCAGAUUAUCAAACCAGACAUAUUAUGCACUCUACUACUAUGAUAUAUCCCUAUGAACAUGCAUAUGUUCUA
This 673-nucleotide long non-coding RNA is filed under the name Lupinus angustifolius (narrow-leaved blue lupine). RNAcentral's name for it is "long non-coding RNA (LANG_LNC001676)". Lineage: Eukaryota; Viridiplantae; Streptophyta; Magnoliopsida; Fabales; Fabaceae. The record is from RNAcentral.